AGGGUUUGAUUAUGGCUCAGAACGUACGCUGGCGGCACGCCUAACACAUGCAAGUCGAACGCAGUAGCAAUACUGAGUGGCAAACGGGUGAGUAUAAUGUGGGAAUCUGCCUUUUGGUUCGGAAUAACACGAGGAAACUUGUGCUAAUACCGGAUAAGCCUUUACAGGGAAAGUUUUAAUGCCAAAAGAUGAGCCUGCACUUGAUUAGCUAGUUGGUGAGGUAAUUGCUCACCAAGGCAACGAUCAAUAGCUGUUCUUAGAGGAAGACCAGCCACAUUGGGACUGAGACACGGCCCAAACUCCUACGGGAGGCAGCAGUGGGGAAUCUUGCACAAUGGGGGAAACCCUGAUGCAGCGAUGCCGCGUGAGUGAAGAAGGCCUUUGGGUUGUAAAACUCUUUCGUCGGGGAAGAAAAUGACUGUACCCGAAUAAGAAGGUCCGGCUAACUUCGUGCCAGCAGCCGCGGUAAUUC
RNAcentral lists this ribosomal RNA (472 nucleotides) under uncultured bacterium. RNAcentral describes it as "bacterial SSU rRNA". It matches the Rfam family "Bacterial small subunit ribosomal RNA", at positions 8 to 526 of the family's 1533-position model. The record is from RNAcentral.